AUUGUCCUACGGGGGGCAGCAGUGGGGAAUAUUGGGCAAUGGGCGCAAGCCUGACCCAGCAACGCCGCGUGAAGGAAGAAGGCUUUCGGGUUGUAAACUUCUUUUCUCAGGGACGAAGCAAGUGACGGUACCUGAGGAAUAAGCCACGGCUAACUACGUGCCAGCAGCCGCGGUAAUACGUAGGUGGCAAGCGUUAUCCGGAUUUACUGGGUGUAAAGGGCGUGUAGGCGGGGACGCAAGUCAGAUGUGAAAACCACGGG
Molecule: ribosomal RNA, 260 nt
Filed under: uncultured bacterium
Lineage: Bacteria
Description: partial 16S ribosomal RNA
Rfam family: Bacterial small subunit ribosomal RNA
Source: RNAcentral